This 492-nucleotide ribosomal RNA is filed under the name uncultured bacterium. RNAcentral describes it as "partial 16S ribosomal RNA". It matches the Rfam family "Bacterial small subunit ribosomal RNA", at positions 29 to 507 of the family's 1533-position model. The record is from RNAcentral.
AGUGAACGCUGGCGGUAGGCCUAACACAUGCAAGUCGAACGGCAGCACAGUAAGAGCUUGCUCUUACGGGUGGCGAGUGGCGGACGGGUGAGGAAUACGUCGGAAUCUACUUUUUCGUGGGGGAUAACGUAGGGAAACUUACGCUAAUACCGCAUACGGCCUACGGGUGAAAGCAGGGGAUCUUCGGACCUUGCGCGAUUGAAUGAGCCGAUGUCGGAUUAGCUAGUUGGCGGGGUAAAGGCCCACCAAGGCGACGAUCCGUAGCUGGUCUGAGAGGAUGAUCAGCCACACUGGAACUGAGACACGGUCCAGACUCCUACGGGAGGCAGCAGUGGGGAAUAUUGGACAAUGGGCGCAAGCCUGAUCCAGCCAUACCGCGUGGGUGAAGAAGGCCUUCGGGUUGUAAAGCCCUUUUGUUGGGAAAGAAAAGCAGCAGGUUAAUACCCCGCUGUUCUGACGGUACCCAAAGAAUAAGCACCGGCUAACUUCGUG